CAAUAGCGUAUAUUAAAGUUGUUGCGGUUAAAAGCUCGUAGUUGGAUUUCUGCCGAGGACGACCGGUCCGCCCUCUGGGUGAGUAUCUGGCUUGGCCUGGGCAUCUUCUUGGAGAACGUAGCUGCACUUGACUGUGUGGUGCGGUAUCCAGGACUUUUACUUUGAGGAAAUUGCAGUGUUUCAAGCAGGCAUGCGCCUUGAAUACAUUAGCAUGGAAUAAUAAGAUAGGACCUCGGUUCUAAAAUGUUGGCUUCUAGAGCUGAGGUAAUGAUUAAUAGGGAUAGUUGGGGGCGAUUCGUAUUUAACUGUCAGAGGUGAAAUUCUUGGAUUCGUUAAAGACGGACUACUGCGAAAGCAUUUGCCAAGGAUGUUUUCAUUGAUCAAGAACGAAAGUUAGGGGAUCGAAGACGAUUAGAUACCGU
This 422-nucleotide ribosomal RNA is filed under the name uncultured eukaryote. Its description in RNAcentral is "SSU rRNA". It matches the Rfam family "Eukaryotic small subunit ribosomal RNA", at positions 592 to 1018 of the family's 1831-position model. The record is from RNAcentral.